This 861-nucleotide ribosomal RNA is filed under the name uncultured bacterium. Its description in RNAcentral is "bacterial SSU rRNA". It matches the Rfam family "Bacterial small subunit ribosomal RNA", at positions 28 to 896 of the family's 1533-position model. The record is from RNAcentral.
GAUGAACGCUAGCGGCGUGGAUAAGGCAUGCAAGUCAAGGGGGUCGCCUUCGGGCGAUCACCGGCAAACGGGUUAGUAACACGUAGAUACAUACCAUUCACACGGGCAUAAUCCGUCGAAAGGCGGACUAAUUCCCGAUAGUCCCGCCCUCGGGUGGGUAAAUGGUUUCGAGUAAUCGAUUCCGGUGGAUGAAUGGUCUGCGGCUUAUCAGCUUGUUGGUGAGGUAAUGGCUUACCAAGGCAAUGACGGGUAGGGGAUAUGAGAGUGUGUUCCCCAACAAGGGCACUGCGACACGGGCCCUACUCCUACGGGAGGCAGCAGUCGAGAAUAAUUCGCAAUGGGCGAAAGCCUGACGAUGCGACGCCGCGUGCUCGAAGAAUCCCUUCGGGGCGUAAAGAGCUUUUCUGGAGGAAGAACCCGCCCUCGGGCGGGUGACGGUACUCCAGGAAUAAGGAGAUGCUAAUCACGUGCCAGCAGCAGCGGUAAUACGUGAUCUCCAAGCGUUAUCCGGAUUUAUUGGGCGUAAAGCGUUCGUAGGCGGUUAGAUAAGUCUCUGGUUAAAGCCCCAUGGCUUAACUAUGGGAAUGCCAGAGAUACUGUCUGACUAGAGGGCGUUAGAGGCUGAUGGAACGGUCGGUGUAGGGGUGAAAUCCGUUGAUAUCGACCGGAACACUAAAAGCGAAGGCACUCAGCUAGAGCGACCCUGACGCUGAGGAACGAAAGCGUGGGUAGCGAACGAGAUUAGAUACCUCGGUAGUCCACGCUGUAAACGAUGGACACUAGCUAUUUGAAGUGUCGACCCUUCAAGUGGCGAAGCUAACGCGUUAAGUGUCCCGCCUGGGAAGUACGGCCGCAAGGCUA